This 287-nucleotide ribosomal RNA is filed under the name uncultured bacterium. RNAcentral describes it as "partial 16S ribosomal RNA". It matches the Rfam family "Bacterial small subunit ribosomal RNA", at positions 773 to 1060 of the family's 1533-position model. The record is from RNAcentral.
GUGGAUUAGAUACCCGGGUAGUCCACGCCGUAAACGUUGGGCACUAGGUGUGGGGAGGAAUCAACCCUUUCCGUGCCGUAGCUAACGCAUUAAGUGCCCCGCCUGGGGAGUACGGCCGCAAGGCUAAAACUCAAAGGAAUUGACGGGGGCCCGCACAAGCGGCGGAGCAUGUUGCUUAAUUCGAGGCAACGCGAAGAACCUUACCUGGGUUUGACAUGUACCGAAAAGCCAUAGAGAUAUGGUGUCCUUCGGGGCGGUACACAGGUGGUGCACGGCUGUCGUCAACU